UGCUUAACACAUGCAAGUCGAACGGGAUGCUUAGGCAUCUAGUGGCGGACGGGUGAGUAACGCGUGAGAAUCUGGCUCCAGGUCGGGGAUAACAGUUGGAAACGACUGCUAAUACCGGAUGUGCCGAGAGGUGAAAGAUUUAUUGCCUGGAGAUGAGCUCGCGUCUGAUUAGCUAGUUGGUGGUGUAAGGGACCACCAAGGCGUCGAUCAGUAGCUGGUCUGAGAGGAUGAUCAGCCACACUGGGACUGAGACACGGCCCAGACUCCUACGGGAGGCAGCAGUGGGGAAUUUUCCGCAAUGGGCGAAAGCCUGACGGAGCAAUACCGCGUGAGGGAGGAAGGCUCUUGGGUCGUAAACCUCUUUUCUCAAGGAAGAAGAAAGUGACGGUACUUGAGGAAUAAGCAUCGGCUAACUCCGUGCCAGCAGCCGCGGUAAUACGGAGGAUGCAAGCGUUAUCCGGAAUGAUUGGGCGUAAAGGGUCUGCAGGUGGAACUGAAAGUCUGCUGUUAAAGAGUUUGGCUUAACCAAAUAAAAGCGGUGGAAACUACAGAACUAGAGUGCGGUAGGGGCAAAAGGAAUUCCUGGUGUAGCGGUGAAAUGCGUAGAUAUCAGGAAGAACACCGGUGGCGAAAGCGUUUUGCUAGACCGUAACUGACACUGAGGGACGAAAGCUAGGGGAGCGAAUGGGAUUAGAUACCCCAGUAGUCCUAGCCGUAAACGAUGGAUACUAGGCGUGGCUUGUAUCGACCCGAGCCGUGCCGGAGCUAACGCGUUAAGUAUCCCGCCUGGGGAGUACGCACGCAAGUGUGAAACUCAAAGGAAUUGACGGGGGCCCGCACAAGCGGUGGAGUAUGUGGUUUAAUUCGAUGCAACGCGAAGAACCUUACCAAGACUUGACAUCCUGCGAAUCCCGGUGAAAGCUGGGAGUGCCUUAGGGAGCGCAGAGACAGGUGGUGCAUGGCUGUCGUCAGCUCGUGUCGUGAGAUGUUGGGUUAAGUCCCGCAACGAGCGCAACCCUCGUUUUUAGUUGCCAGCAUUAAGUUGGGCACUCUAGAGAGACUGCCGGUGACAAACCGGAGGAAGGUGAGGAUGACGUCAAGUCAGCAUGCCCCUUACGUCUUGGGCUACACACGUACUACAAUGCUACGGACAGAGGGCAGCAAGCCAGGGAUGGCAAGCGAAUCCAGAAACCGUAGCUCAGUUCAGAUCGAAGGCUGCAACUCGCCUUCGUGAAGGAGGAAUCGCUAGUAAUUGCAGGUCAGCAUACUGCAGUGAAUUCGUUCCCGGGCCUUGUACACACCGCCCGUCACACCAUGGAAGUUGGUCACGCCCGAAGUCAUUACCCCAACCGAAAGGAGGGGGAUGCCUAAGGUAGGACUGGUGACUGGGGUGAAGUCGUAACAAGGUAGCCGUACCGGAAGGUGUGGCUGGAUCACCUCCUUUUAGGGAGACCUACCCAUUGAAGAAUCGAAAGUCGAAG
This 1481-nucleotide ribosomal RNA is filed under the name Cylindrospermopsis raciborskii CS-511. Its description in RNAcentral is "bacterial SSU rRNA". It matches the Rfam family "Bacterial small subunit ribosomal RNA". The record is from RNAcentral. Lineage: Bacteria; Bacillati; Cyanobacteriota; Cyanophyceae; Nostocales; Aphanizomenonaceae.